UACAGAGGGUGCGAGCGUUAAUCGGAAUUACUGGGUGUAAAGCGUGCGUAGACGGUUAUUUAAGUCGGGUGUGAAAUCCCCGGGCUCAACCUGGGAAUUGCAUUCGAGACUGAAUAGCUAGGGUACGGUAGAGGGAAGCGGAAUUUCCGGUGUAGCGGUGAAAUGCGUAGAUAUCGGAAGGAACAUCAGUGGCGAAAGCGGCUUCCUGGACCAGUACCGACGUUCAGGCACGAAAGCGUGGGGAGCAAACAGG
This 253-nucleotide ribosomal RNA is filed under the name uncultured bacterium. RNAcentral describes it as "partial 16S ribosomal RNA". It matches the Rfam family "Bacterial small subunit ribosomal RNA", at positions 524 to 776 of the family's 1533-position model. The record is from RNAcentral.